RNAcentral lists this non-coding RNA (27 nucleotides) under Rattus norvegicus (Norway rat). Lineage: Eukaryota; Metazoa; Chordata; Mammalia; Rodentia; Muridae. The record is from RNAcentral.
CCAGUGCAUGUGCUUGGGAGAAAGAGC